RNAcentral lists this ribosomal RNA (372 nucleotides) under uncultured organism. Its description in RNAcentral is "partial 16S ribosomal RNA". It matches the Rfam family "Bacterial small subunit ribosomal RNA", at positions 527 to 896 of the family's 1533-position model. The record is from RNAcentral.
GUAGGGUCCAAGCGUUAAUCGGAAUUACUGGGCGUAAAGCGUGCGCAGGCGGUUGUGCAAGACCGAUGUGAAAUCCCCCGGGGCUUAACCUGGGAAUUGCAUUGGUGACUGCACGGCUAGAGUGUGUCAGAGGGGGGGUAGAAUUCCACGUGUAGCAGUGAAAUGCGUAGAGAUGUGGAGGAAUACCGAUGGCGAAGGCAGCCCCCUGGGAUAACACUGACGCUCAUGCACGAAAGCGUGGGGAGCAAACAGGAUUAGAUACCCUGGUAGUCCACGCCCUAAACGAUGUCAACUAGUUGUUGGGGAUUCAUUUCCUUAGUAACGUAGCUAACGCGUGAAGUUGACCGCCUGGGGAGUACGGUCGCAAGAUUA